GAUGAACGCUGGCGGCGUGCCUAAUACAUGCAAGUCGAGCGAACAGACGAGGAGCUUGCUCCUCUGACGUUAGCGGCGGACGGGUGAGUAACACGUGGAUAACCUACCUAUAAGACUGGGAUAACUUCGGGAAACCGGAGCUAAUACCGGAUAAUAUAUUGAACCGCAUGGCUCAAUAGUGAAAGACGGUUUUGCUGUCACUUAUAGAUGGAUCCGCGCCGCAUUAGCUAGUUGGUAAGGUAACGGCUUACCAAGGCAACGAUGCGUAACCGACCUGAGAGGGUGAUCGGCCAGCCUGGAAGUGAGACACGGUCCAGACUCCUACGGGAGGCAGCAGUAGGGAAUCUUCCGCAAUGGGCGAAAGCCUGACAGAGCAACGCCGCGUGAGUGAUGAAGGUCUUCGGAUCGUAAAACUCUGUUAUUAGGAAAGAACAAAUGUGUAAGUAACUAUGCACGUCUUGACGGUACCUAAUCAGAAAGCCACGGCUAACUACGUG
RNAcentral lists this ribosomal RNA (497 nucleotides) under uncultured bacterium. RNAcentral describes it as "partial 16S ribosomal RNA". It matches the Rfam family "Bacterial small subunit ribosomal RNA", at positions 28 to 507 of the family's 1533-position model. The record is from RNAcentral.